RNAcentral lists this ribosomal RNA (500 nucleotides) under uncultured bacterium. Its description in RNAcentral is "bacterial SSU rRNA". It matches the Rfam family "Bacterial small subunit ribosomal RNA", at positions 8 to 491 of the family's 1533-position model. The record is from RNAcentral.
AGAGUUUGAUCCUGGCUCAGAACGAACGUUAGCGGCGCGCCUAAUACAUGCAAGUCGAGCGAGAAAGGGCUUCGGCCCCAGUAAAGCGGCGCACGGGUGAGUAACACGUAGGUUAUCUCCCCUCGAGUGGUGGAUAACCCUCCGAAAGGAGGGCUAAUACAGCAUGAGACCACGACCUUUUAGGUUGCGGUCAAAGCAGGCCUCUUCAUGAAAGCUUGCGCUCAAGGAUGAGCCUGCGGCCCAUCAGCUAGUUGGUAAGGUAACGGCUUACCAAGGCUAAGACGGGUAGCUGGUCUGAGAGGAUGAGCAGCCACACUGGAACUGAAACACGGUCCAGACUCCUACGGGAGGCAGCAGUAGGGAAUCUUGCGCAAUGGACGAAAGUCUGACGCAGCGACGCCGCGUGAGCGAUGAAGGCCUUCGGGUUGUAAAGCUCUGUGGGGAGAGACGAAUAAGGUAUGGCUAACAUCCAUAUCGAUGACGGUAUCUCCUUAGCAAGC